This 67-nucleotide transfer RNA is filed under the name Salix viminalis (osier). It matches the Rfam family "tRNA". From Rfam's summary of the family: Transfer RNA (tRNA) molecules are approximately 80 nucleotides in length. Their secondary structure includes four short double-helical elements and three loops (D, anti-codon, and T loops). The record is from RNAcentral. Lineage: Eukaryota; Viridiplantae; Streptophyta; Magnoliopsida; Malpighiales; Salicaceae.
GCGGAAAUAGCUUAAUGGUAGAGCAUAGCCUGCAAGGCUGAGUUGAGGUUCAAGUCCUCCUUCCGCU